GCAUCAGUAGCUCAACUGGAUAGAGCAUCAGUCUUCGAAACUGAGGGUUAGGGGUUCAAAUCCCUUCUGGUGCA
This 74-nucleotide transfer RNA is filed under the name Chlorobiales bacterium. It matches the Rfam family "tRNA". Rfam says of the family: Transfer RNA (tRNA) molecules are approximately 80 nucleotides in length. Their secondary structure includes four short double-helical elements and three loops (D, anti-codon, and T loops). The record is from Rfam by way of RNAcentral. Lineage: Bacteria; Pseudomonadati; Chlorobiota; Chlorobiia; Chlorobiales.